GCGGACAGUGUCUGGUGGGUAGUUUGACUGGGGCGGUCUCCUCCUAAAGAGUAACGGAGGAGCACGAAGGUUGGCUAAUCCUGGUCGGACAUCAGGAGGUUAGUGCAAUGGCAUAAGCCAGCUUGACUGCGAGCGUGACGGCGCGAGCAGGUGCGAAAGCAGGUCAUAGUGAUCCGGUGGUUCUGAAUGGAAGGGCCAUCGCUCAACGGAUAAAAGGUACUCCGGGGAUAACAGGCUGAUACCGCCCAAGAGUUCAUAUCGACGGCGGUGUUUGGCACCUCGAUGUCGGCUCAUCACAUCCUGGGGCUGAAGUAGGUCCCAAGGGUAUGGCUGUUCGCCAUUUAAAGUGGUACGCGAGCUGGGUUUAGAACGUCGUGAGACAGUUCGGUCCCUAUCUGCCGUGGGCGCUGGAGAACUGAGGGGGGCUGCUCCUAGUACGAGAGGACCGGAGUGGACGCAUCACUGGUGUUCGGGUUGUCAUGCCAAUGGCACUGCCCGGUAGCUAAAUGCGGAAGAGAUAAGUGCUGAAAGCAUCUAAGCACGAAACUUGCCCCGAGAUGAGUUCUCCCUGAGACUUAGAGUCUCCUGAAGGAACGUUGAAGACGACGACGUUGAUAGGCCGGGUGUGUAAGCGCAGCGAUGCGUUGAGCUAACCGGUACUAAUGAACCGUGAGGCUUAACCUU
Molecule: ribosomal RNA, 684 nt
Filed under: Escherichia coli
Lineage: Bacteria; Pseudomonadati; Pseudomonadota; Gammaproteobacteria; Enterobacterales; Enterobacteriaceae
Description: partial 23S ribosomal RNA
Rfam family: Bacterial large subunit ribosomal RNA
Source: RNAcentral